RNAcentral lists this transfer RNA (72 nucleotides) under Nippostrongylus brasiliensis. It matches the Rfam family "tRNA". Rfam says of the family: Transfer RNA (tRNA) molecules are approximately 80 nucleotides in length. Their secondary structure includes four short double-helical elements and three loops (D, anti-codon, and T loops). The record is from Rfam by way of RNAcentral. Lineage: Eukaryota; Metazoa; Nematoda; Chromadorea; Rhabditida; Heligmosomidae.
AGUUCCGUGGUGUAGCACUCAGCACUCAAAACUCUGAAUUUUGCGACAGGAAUUCAAAUCUUCCCGGGACCC